GGUGUUGUGGCUUUCUUGUCUGGGAGAGGUUGAUCUUCACCUCAAAUUCCCUCCCUCCCUACUCUGUGAGCUGAUUUGCAUAUUCAUGAAAAUACAUGAUUUCAAAAGACACUAUAAACAGUUUCAGAAUUAUCUGAAUCUCAGACUCUUUUUUUUGGGUUGAGAGUAGAAUUUUUCUUUUUUUGAUCAUGUCCUGGGCUGCUCUUUUAAUCACUGUUUGUCUUUGCACAGGUAGGUGUACAUGGGGAAUGCACAUCAUGCUGUUUUCAAGCAGUUAAAUACAUGACUAAUGAAUUUUGCUUUCUGCUUUCAGAUCAUCUUUUGGCUCAGGAGAUUACGCUGCAGCAGCCAACUUCAGAGUCUGUGAGUGUGGGAGGGAAGGCCAAAUUAGCAUGUACAAUGAACACUGGCAUUGCCAUAGUGUCCUGGUACCAGUUUAAGGAGGGUAGUGCCCGCGUUUUGUCUACAAGUUUCGUAUAGCUGGUGAUGGAAACAAUGGACCUGGACCUGGAAUCAGCAGCAGAUUCUCAGCCUCUCAUGAUUCUGAUACAAAUACCUGGCAUUUAGUUAUUAAAGAGGCCCAGAUUGAGGAUGAUGCAGAUUAUUACUGCUCAAUAUGGAAUGCUAAGAUCAGCAGGUAGUCACAGUGACUCAGAGAUAUCAGGAAGUUAUACAGUAACCUCCUGCACGUUACACAGCAGCACAGGG
Non-coding RNA from Pelobates cultripes (western spadefoot toad), 708 nucleotides. The record is from the annotation of a GenBank genome assembly. Lineage: Eukaryota; Metazoa; Chordata; Amphibia; Anura; Pelobatidae.